This 21-nucleotide microRNA is filed under the name Bos taurus (domestic cattle). Its description in RNAcentral is "bta-miR-12064". The record is from miRBase by way of RNAcentral. Lineage: Eukaryota; Metazoa; Chordata; Mammalia; Artiodactyla; Bovidae.
UGGUAGUAUUCCUAGUGUGGC